Sus scrofa (pig) is the source of this 975-nucleotide non-coding RNA. Lineage: Eukaryota; Metazoa; Chordata; Mammalia; Artiodactyla; Suidae. The record is from RefSeq and is a predicted model, not a curated record.
AAGCUCUUGUGGAAAGAGGUGAAGGACUGCUGGCCCUGAGGCGGUCUCUGCUCAAGCCCACCUGGUGGAGGUCAGGAAUGGGGCCCGGGUGUUUGGGGUCAGAAGAUGGUGAGUGUCAGCUCCAUCUUUUCUGCCUGCGAGAACUCACAGAAGUCAUUUAAUCUCCAAAACCUCAGCUCCUCGUCUCUGCAAUGGCGGUAAUAUGAAGACAGUCAUAUUAUCUACAAAUACAUCCACAAAACGACUUUCUUAACAUAGAAGUACUACUGCAUAUAAAACAGAUAAACAACAAGGACCUACUUUAUGGCACAGGAAUCUCUAGUCAACAUCGUGUAACAACCAAUAUUGGAAAAGAAUCUGGAAAACAAUAUUAUAUAUAUAUCUACAUCUGAAUCACUUUGUUAUAUACCUGAAACUAACACAACAUUGUAAAUCAACUACACUUCAAUUUUUUAAAAAUCAUUCUCUUCCUUUCCAAUUGGUAUGCCUUUUUUUUUUCCCCUUGCCUUAGUGCACUGGCUAAGAUGCCCAGUACAAUGUUGAACAGAAGUGGUGAGAGUAUACUUCCUUGACUUAUUCUCAUUCUUUUUUUCUUUCUUUUUAAAAAAAAUUGUCUACCCAUAACUCAUCUAUUUUGUAAGUGGAAGUUUGUACCUCUUAAUCGCCCUCGCUUGCUUCUCUUAUUCCUACGGGGACAGGGUUAGUGUGUCACCAUUAACUGUGAUACUACCUGCAGAUUUUUCACUGAUGUCCUCCUUCAGGUGGAAGAGGUUCCCUUCUAGUCCUAGUUUCCUGAGAGUGUUGAGUUUUGUCAAAGGUGUUUUCUCUGUUCAUUGUGAUGAUCACAUGAUUUUCUCUCAUAUGCUAUAAUUUAUUAAAUUACAAUGAUUAAUUGUCACACAUUUAAAGAAUUGUACAUUCUCGGGAUUAAUCCCACUUGUUGCUGGAUUUAAUGUGAUGAUAUUUUGCUAAUGA